Long non-coding RNA from Xiphophorus hellerii (green swordtail), 843 nucleotides. RefSeq lists it as uncharacterized. The record is from RefSeq and is a predicted model, not a curated record. The transcript is spliced from 3 exons. Lineage: Eukaryota; Metazoa; Chordata; Actinopteri; Cyprinodontiformes; Poeciliidae.
CAGCUUCAAUUCUCCCAGCCGCCUCUAGGUGCUGCUAAAGCGCCGAGUUAACGAAGUCAACGCAGAAGAACGUCACGUGACUCUGCGGACGCGUUGGCCUGGCAACUGCAGCAAACCUUUAUCCGGUGCUUAAAGCACACGCCCACAAGACACAGCGAUGCCCGAGGUCAAGUCAAUAUUGAGAGAAGUUCUGCCUAAGCAAGGACAGCUCUACAUGGAAGACGUCCCAACCAUGGUUCUGUGCAAGCCAAAGCUGCUCCCACUCAAAUCAGUCACCCUGGAGAAACUGGAGAAGAUGCAGAUGGAGGCACAAGAGGCCGUCAAGCAGCAGGAACUGGCAAUGAAGGAGCAAGGACAGCAGAUGCCCAGUUGAAGACUUGAAACCACACAAAAAAAUAAAAUACACGACUUUUUGGUAGAGAGCACAAGUCCAAUGACUCAAACAUUGGCGAGAAACUAUUUUUGUAAUCAGUGGAACAAACUUAAGUUGUACUUUUUGCUUUUAAGUAAGCGUCUGCGUUUAAGCAAGUCAGCACCAUCUUGAAUGUUUUCUCGCCUCGGGACUCCAACACCAUCACGACGGCCUGCCGAGAGCGCCACAGGUUUUCAGAAAACGCACCUGAAAAUAUGCAGCAGCUCCUGCGGUAGGGAGCCAGCAGACUCAUAACAAGUUUGUUGGUAGCGGCGGCUUAUCUGCGGAAUUGUGCAACAUGUAGAGAUUAUUUUAAUAGUGACAAUGAUAGGAAAAAAAACAAGUAUUUUAUAAUUAUUUAAUCAAUAAACAAAGAAAUUUUUGCAAUAAGUUGCUGCCCAAGUACAAAAAUAAACCAUUAUGUUACGUUU